GAUGAACGCUGGCGGCGUGCCUAAUACAUGCAAGUCGAACGGAGUUUGUAGCAAUACAGACUUAGUGGCGAACGGGUGAGUAACGCGUUGGUGACCUGCCCCGAAGUGGGGGAUAACGGCUCGAAAGGGCUGCUAAUACCCCAUGCGGUCAUUGGGAUUAGAAUCCGAUGACCAAAGGAUUUAUUCGCUUCGGGAGGGCCUGCGUCCCAUCAGCUAGUUGGUAGGGUAAUGGCUUACCAAGGCUAUGACGGGUAGGGGACCUGAGAGGGUGGCCCCCCACAAUGGAACUGAAACACGGUCCAUACACCUACGGGUGGCAGCAGUAGGGAAUAUUGGUUAAUGGGCGAAAGCCUGAACCAGCAACGCCGCGUGUGCGAUGAAGGCCUUCGGUCGUAAGCACUUUUGUUCCGGAGCGAACGGGAGCGGUGAAUAUCCGCUUCUACUGACGGUACCGGAAGGAAUAAGCACCGGCUAACUACGUGCCAGCAGCCGCGGUAAGUCUCG
This 504-nucleotide ribosomal RNA is filed under the name uncultured bacterium. RNAcentral's name for it is "bacterial SSU rRNA". It matches the Rfam family "Bacterial small subunit ribosomal RNA", at positions 28 to 527 of the family's 1533-position model. The record is from RNAcentral.